RNAcentral lists this ribosomal RNA (118 nucleotides) under Gossypium hirsutum (cotton). The record is from RNAcentral. Lineage: Eukaryota; Viridiplantae; Streptophyta; Magnoliopsida; Malvales; Malvaceae.
GGGUGUGAUCAUACCAACACUAAUGCACUGGAUCCUAUCAGAACUCCACAGUUAAGCAUGCUUGGGCGAGAGUAGUACUAGGAUGGUGACCUCUUAGGAAGUCCUCGUGUUGCAGCCC